Molecule: ribosomal RNA, 245 nt
Filed under: uncultured bacterium
Lineage: Bacteria
Description: partial small subunit ribosomal RNA
Rfam family: Bacterial small subunit ribosomal RNA
Source: RNAcentral
AGAAUCAACGCUGGCGGCGUGCCUAACACAUGCAAGUCGCACGAGAAAGUGGAGCAAUCCAUGAGUAAAGUGGCGCACGGGUGAGUAACACGUGAAUCAUCUACCUCCGAGUGGGGAAUAACCUAGAGAAAUCUGGGCUAAUACCGCAUAACACUUACGAGUCAAAGCAGCAAUGCGCUUGGAGAGGAGUUCGCGGCCGAUUAGCUAGUUGGCGGGGUAAUGGCCCACCAAGGCGAUGAUCGGUA